This 569-nucleotide long non-coding RNA is filed under the name Mus spicilegus (steppe mouse). Its description in RNAcentral is "lncRNA (ENSMSIG00000029320.1)". Lineage: Eukaryota; Metazoa; Chordata; Mammalia; Rodentia; Muridae. The record is from RNAcentral.
CUUAACUUUAAUAGUCUCCCACUCACUUCAUUCACUUCCUAACUUCCUUUACUUUUCAAGGAACAACACAGGGCAUCAUCUCCCCUAUCCUGGGAGUGUGUGCUCAAAGAAUCUGCAUUGGAAAGAGGGAAGGAAUCGACAAUUCUCAAGUAGGUUAAGAAACAGCCGACUCCACGCGUUGCCGAGUCCUCACAGGAGACCAAUGAACGAGAGUCGGCGAAAAAACUCUUCAGAACCGGGCCUGACUGCUUCAGUGAGUCCGACCUUUACGGCUGAGAGAGAGACUCUCAGCUUUCGGUGGGUUCCACGGCUAGACGGGCCACCAUCUUACAUUAGGUACAGCUGAGCUCAUCUUCCUUACGGGAAAAUCUCCAGUGAAGAAAUACCUGAAUUGCCAUGUGCACAUUUCUCAAGAGAACGCGGGCAGUCAGAGUAGCAUGAGUUGCUGAUGAUGUGAAAGCAUGUGGACUUACCUGCAAACUGUUGCUGGCUGCACAGAACUCUUCCAGCCUGCACAGAAGUGUGCGUCAGGUUCGCAAACUGCACAAAUAAACACGUCUCAAAGGACA